This 77-nucleotide ribozyme is filed under the name Crocodylus porosus (Australian saltwater crocodile). RNAcentral describes it as "Mammalian CPEB3 ribozyme (ENSCPRG00005000046.1)". It matches the Rfam family "Mammalian CPEB3 ribozyme". From Rfam's summary of the family: The mammalian CPEB3 ribozyme is a self cleaving RNA located in the second intron of the CPEB3 gene which belongs to a family of genes regulating messenger RNA polyadenylation. The record is from Rfam by way of RNAcentral. Lineage: Eukaryota; Metazoa; Chordata; Crocodylia; Crocodylidae.
UGCUAACUAUAAUGGCCAUAGCAAAAGCAUUCAUAUCAUUGCCCCUGUCAGAUUCCAAUGAAUUUGUGAAUUCUGCU